UGGGAAGCCAGACUCUAUUUCGUUUAGCAUUUGGAGAAGGCAGAAGCACAAGGUCAUCCAAGGACAAAUCCACAUCCCACACAGAGCAUCGCUGGUUCUGUCAGCAGAUCAACCGUUAAUGACAUCACCAAAGGUAUUUGAUGUGAGUUACAAAAACUUAGCUUGGCUUCCCAUAAAUCCACAGUCAAAAUGCAGAACACUGCAGGAACUGGUUGCUGACUUGUAUCCCGAGAUAUAUUGCUGUUAACAGGGAGCUUGAAGUCUUGAUUAGUUUGUUGUAAACACUACAAUCAUGUUUGCACGCUUCCAUUCACUUUGUGUGCUGUGUAUUAGAUGGAUGAUAUUCGUGCUGAAAGCUGCAAUUUAAUUACAAUAAGUCUGUUUCCUAUACAAUUUUGUCAGUGUCAUCCUAUUAUACUGGUUGUGAACUAUUACAAGGUUCAAUACAUUGUGCAUCUUCAUGUCAGGGAUUGAAUGUCAUACAAUGGAUCAAUUUUAGGAGGUUUUUUUUUCUCUCUCACUCUCUCUAUCUCUUUUUCUUCCCUGAUUGUUA
This is a non-coding RNA of Pantherophis guttatus, 553 nucleotides long. The record is from RefSeq and is a predicted model, not a curated record. NCBI's taxonomy places the organism in Eukaryota, Metazoa, Chordata, Lepidosauria, Squamata, Colubridae.